UCACAAAACGACACCCUCAUCUCCCUACCAGGGUCCAGGGCAGGUCUCUGUGCUAAUUUUUUGAAUUACAAACGCGGAUAGUUUGAGAGGGGGAGCCUCCGGGUUAAGAUUUGGGGCAGACAAGAGGGGGACAUCCCCACGAUCUGCUAUUUUCUCACGCUUUCUCAUCCACACCAGCCAAUCAUGCCAUCAGGUGCAAAGAAGAGAAAAGCUGCUAAGAAAAAGAGGGAAAAGGAUACCCAUAAAAACUCUGGUAGUAACGCACAAGGGAAUGGUGAUUUGAAAAAUCAAGAUGACAAGGACAGUGAUGGGGCGGAAGUUAGUUCUCCGACAUCUCAGGACCAAAAUCCAUUCGUUGACAGAGAGGAGGAGGUGGAGGAGGAAAAGAGGGAUGCUCAAUCUGUUCAAUCAUGCGAUGAUGAGAGCAAAUCCGCCGAGCAAACCCCUGAUGAUGGGAAGGCUACCCAGGAAGCAGAAGGAGAGGGUGUUGUUGAAAUUGUGAGAGAAUUAAAAUCUGAAGAGGUUUCUGAGAGCCAAAAGGUCAGUAUUGAGUAUGUUGAAUCUACUAAGGUGUCAGGUGAUGGAGGCUCUUCUGGGGACAGUGGGAGUUCUAGCAGCAGUAGUUCAGAUGAUGAGUCUCAAGUCACUAAGAAGAGUUCUGAAGCUGUGGGGUCAGGGAACUUCAAGGUGGAAACAUAUAAUUCGGUUUCAGAAACUGCCCCUGUUGAUGAUUUGGUUAAGCCAGAUUUUACUUUGUCUGAAGGGGUAUCUUGUGAUACCAAGAGUGCACCAGUAGAUGAGGUUUAUAAUUCAGUUGUAGAGACUGCUUCUGUUGUUGAUUCAGUCAAGCCAGAAGUUUCUUCUUCUGAAGUGGUGAAUUUGGUUUUGGAAACUACCCCUGUUGGUGAUUCAGUUAAGCCAUAUGUUUCUUUGUCUGAAGAGGUGACUUCUGAUGCCAAAGGUGUGCCAGGUGAGGAGGCUUAUAAGUCUGCUGUGGAGACUGCUUCCGUUGUUGAUUUAGUUAAGCCAGAAAUGUCUGUGUCUGGAGAGGUGAUUUGUGUUACUGAUAGUGCUGCACUUGGGAAUUCAGUGGCUGCUGAUGUGGUUGAAUUAGGAUUGAAGGAAAAUGAAGAGAAAAAGUUGCCUGCAUCAAGUGGAAGUCCUGAUGUUUCACCAAUUAUGGUGGAUUUGGCAUCAAAGAAGACUGAGGAUAAAGUUUUUCCCUUACCAGAUGAGGGUGCAGGGCUAUCCUCCACUUUUGUAGGUUCUGAGGUGCUAGAAAAUGAGGAUGAACCAUUGCCAUCGUCAGAUGCUCCUAGUUUUGAAACUAGUAAUGGUGCGGAACAUGUUAAAAAUUCUGAAGUUCCUGAAUGCUCUGAAAAGCAGCCUCCGGCACCUUCUGCUCCACGAGCAGUGCAUAAGACUUCCUGGAUGGGUUGCUGUGGGCUGUUUGAUGUGCUAACAGGAUCCAAUAGAUAAUUUCAGCAAUGAAAGUUCCAAGCAAAACUUGCUGUACCUGCCAUGCUGGUUCAUUGGGAAAACCCACAAUUUGCUGUGGUGUAUCAGUCAGAAGCCUCUUCAUUUUGGGCUAGUUUGCAAGUUUGCAUUCAUCUAGUCCAUUGGGGUUCCUUACUGCAGUUUUAUCAGUUUUUUAAUUUGAAUGGGUUGGACAGCUGUUAGAAUUUUCCACCCUCAAGAAUAUAUUAAAUUUAGUUGCCAAGACUCUUCCUCAAAGAUGGUGGGACAUGAUCGGGAGAAGCAUCCAGGUUGGAGUGGCAGGCAGAUUCCAUUUCCAGCUUCAUCUGGCCUCUUCCAAGCUAAACAGAGCAUGAGGGGGGCUUCAGUGGACCAGUGAGCUUGUGAAGUAUUUUGAAUAAGAAUCAUUUCAAGUAUUUCUCUUUGAAGAAUAAUGGGCCAGAGGUCUGACUAGAUGAACAAUUACGGCUCUGCAGUAGUUUUUGUAUGAUGAUUGGUAGGCAGCUCAAUGCCCCUCACUUUGGCAACAAUUUUUCCUUGUUACUUCUGUGGUGGGUAGUUCUUUUUUCUCAUUGUUACCAAAUUUUAUGAAUAUGUAUUGACCUCUCUGCACGAGGUAUAUCAUCUUGUGUAGGGAAGCUGCAUAGCCUAGAACUUAAUAGUUUGGAUAUGAGUUUACUGUUUUACUUGAAUGUCGUUCAGCCUCCUGGUGUUACCAGUUGGACUGUCCUUUCUUUGAACUUGAGAUUCUUGUGGCUAGAGUACAAAAUAAUUUAGGACA
This is an RNA transcript of Vitis riparia (riverbank grape), 2257 nucleotides long. It is a transcript of the gene named enolase-phosphatase E1-like, with no coding region annotated. The record is from RefSeq and is a predicted model, not a curated record. The transcript has 5 exons. NCBI's taxonomy places the organism in Eukaryota, Viridiplantae, Streptophyta, Magnoliopsida, Vitales, Vitaceae.